GAAGUGCGAUAAGCAAUGCGAAUUGCAGAAUUCCGCGAAUCAUCAGAUCUUUGAACGCAAAUGGCGCCAAGGGGAUAUCUCUUUGGCAUGUCUGUUUCAGUGUCUGAGAGGUUUCACAAUUACCUUAAUGUGAUUGAACUCAAAAACUGUUAGGGUGUAAAAACUUUAACAGUCUUAACUGUUCUCUCAUGAAAAAUGCGCGAGUGGAUCUUUCGGUCCAAUGAAGUGGUCACAUCACUCGAAUGUGAUUUCAUUGGAAGCACCGAAUUAUCAUUUAAUAAAACUCGUGGUACCAUGAAAUCAAUUCUUAUUUGUUGUUUAUCAAUAAAUAAUAAUACUCUCCAUACCCUGCAUCUGAGAUAGGCAAGAUCACCCGCUGAACUUAA
Molecule: unclassified non-coding RNA, 386 nt
Filed under: uncultured fungus
Lineage: Eukaryota; Fungi
Description: sequence contains ITS1
Rfam family: 5.8S ribosomal RNA (bases 1-105)
Source: RNAcentral